AGUAUCCUGACGGCGAUAUUCAUUGACCUGUUUGUACUCGCCAAUUCAAUUGGAAACGGGUCGAAUAAUUGUCAAAAGUAAUCUUUCGUUAGAGCCUUGAACCCUAAUAUAACACUUUUCUUCGACCUGUUUUAGUGUCUAUUUUCCAACAAAUCUUACAAAUCAAAACUCUGUUCUCUCAUAAAUCAGCAUCUCUGCCAAACCCUUGUUGCGGCUAAAUCAUGUCAUGUUCGUAAACAAUGGGUUAGUAGAGAUCAAGAAGAAGACGGAGCAGGUGAGAAAGUUAGUUUUGGGCUUUGCUGUGGCUUACAGAGUAACAGAGAAAUAGAAGAUGGUAUUAAAAUUCGAAUUUCAGAGAAGGGGAAGAUGAAAUGUUACUUCCGUUGACGAAUAAUGGGUUCUCCUGGUUUGAUUCGAUUUGAAAUAGGAAGGAUCUAGUGCAACUGAAGAUGGUGGUUUCAGUGAUGUUCUACCAAGAAGUUAGGUCUAAAAAUGAAGCUGUUACAGAGGAAAUUGCAAUUGGGGUUUGAGGUUGAACUCAAGAUUGAUGGUGUGUGGAUUUGGUUGAAUUAAUUUUGGUGUUGCUGAGAAAUCCGAGAAGAAGGAGAGAUGGGAUUGUGUUUGGGUUUGGGUUUGAACUGAGUGGAAUCAGGAAAGACAAAUCUUUCAAUCACUCAAACCCUAGAAAUCGAUUUCUUUUUUGAAGUCAAAUCAUUCUGUAUAGUGUGUUUGGUUGCAACUCUUUCUAUUAUACAUGAAUGGAUCCUGCAGGUACAACCCUAAUCUUUUAGUUGGUAAAAUUUUGUACAAAUUUUAAUUUUCCAAUUUUAAUUUUUGUUGAAGCAUUUGAUGGAGUUUUAUGCAAAGGGAUUACAAGCGGAGCUCAUAUUCAUUCAACUCUGUUUCAGCGCACUUCCUGGGAAAGCAGCCUGUCAUGAGACUUGUGCCUUAAAAGAUCGAUAUUGUUACAUGUUAAGGGACACUAAUACACUUGGGUUGACAAAAUUUGUCAUUGGAGAGAUCAGUUUAGGGGUCUUGGCAAAGACAAAUCUCAUGGAUAAGGGUACUGAUUCUAUUGAUACAGAUCCUUCAUCACUUUUGCUGCUGCACGACUUCUUCGACUUUUUCUCUCCUUGUUUAUCUCAUUAAAUUCAUCAUAUACUAUAACAGCAAAAGCAAUACCAACUGCACCAAUCGAAAGACCAAGACAAAUUCCAGCUGUUGAGAAAAAAACAUGGUAAAUUGCUUGGUAUAUUGCUUUGUCCCGAUAUGAACUGACACGACUAGGUGCAGCAGCUUGGUAUAUUGCUUUGUCCCGAGAUGGCUGAUUGUUGUUCAUAGUCCGACUGGCAUAUCCUAAUGAGCUUUGCAGACUUAAGCGAACUGGAUCAUUAUGUCGUGCAUCCAUUGUGUACACUCUCCAAGCGACCUUUCAGAACUCCUGUGGAUUCAAAAAGCAUAUGUUAAGAUGGAGCAGGAAGAAUACAGCAAGGAAACAAUUGACUGGGGCAACAUUGAGUUCAUUGACAACCAAAUUGCGCUGGAUUUGACUGAAAAGGUGGCAGAAGCAAAGAGUUUACUUCUUGGAUGUCUUCGCACAUCUCCAAGCAUGAAUCUCCCAUCAUGUUGUUUAACUGGUUUCUUGCUUGCUCAUCAUGCUACUUUAAGACUUUGGUUGAGAAGGCUUCAAAGACGUCGUUUAUGAAGCUUGUAAUGUUCAGGAUGAAUUGGUUCUUGUCCUUGUGCCAAGUGAAGAAAAAGAAUCGACCUUGUUCUGAAUGUGAUUUUUUUUUUUUUUUUGUGUAUAUUCAAACUAAGUUCAUAUUGGUGUAGAAUAUUACCAGGUCAGGUUUAAUAUAAUUUGUAAUACG
Molecule: RNA transcript, 1871 nt
Organism: Papaver somniferum (opium poppy)
Lineage: Eukaryota; Viridiplantae; Streptophyta; Magnoliopsida; Ranunculales; Papaveraceae
Exons: 6
Source: RefSeq, a predicted model, not a curated record